Molecule: small RNA, 98 nt
Filed under: Drosophila erecta
Lineage: Eukaryota; Metazoa; Arthropoda; Insecta; Diptera; Drosophilidae
Description: GG27009
Source: RNAcentral
GUAUUACCAUUUAUUUGGCUGUUUGGGGGUAAAUAACUUGAAUUUACCAACUGAUGAUUUCACUGAUUUAUGAAGUUACAGACAACACUCUGAACUGU